This 484-nucleotide ribosomal RNA is filed under the name uncultured bacterium. RNAcentral describes it as "partial 16S ribosomal RNA". It matches the Rfam family "Bacterial small subunit ribosomal RNA", at positions 30 to 507 of the family's 1533-position model. The record is from RNAcentral.
AUUGGACGCUGGCGGCAGGCCUAACACAUGCAAGUCGAGCGGAUGAAGGGAGCUUGCUCCUGGAUUCAGCGGCGGACGGGUGAGUAAUGCCUAGGAAUCUGCCUGGUAGUGGGGGAUAACGUCCGGAAACGGGCGCUAAUACCGCAUACGUCCUGAGGGAGAAAGUGGGGGAUCUUCGGACCUCACGCUAUCAGAUGAGCCUAGGUCGGAUUAGCUAGUUGGUGGGGUAAAGGCCUACCAAGGCGACGAUCCGUAACUGGUCUGAGAGGAUGAUCAGUCACACUGGAACUGAGACACGGUCCAGACUCCUACGGAAGGCAGCAGUGGGGAAUAUUGGACAAUGGGCGAAAGCCUGAUCCAGCCAUGCCGCGUGUGUGAAGAAGGUCUUCGGAUUGUAAAGCACUUUAAGUUGGGAGGAAGGGCAGUAAGUUAAUACCUUACUGUUUUGACGUUACCAACAGAAUAAGCACCGGCUAACUUCGUG